Molecule: long non-coding RNA, 423 nt
Filed under: Lathyrus oleraceus (garden pea)
Lineage: Eukaryota; Viridiplantae; Streptophyta; Magnoliopsida; Fabales; Fabaceae
Description: Pisum sativum (pea) long non-coding RNA (PSAT_LNC011969)
Source: RNAcentral
AUAAACCCCCUGUUAACUAUUAAGCAUUAUUCAUCAUAAACCCCCUGUUAACUUUUAAUCAUUCAUUUUUCCAUAACUCGGUAUGAUUGUGUGAAUUGCAAGAUGUGCAAUAAAACUAAGUUUGGGGUGGAAAUCUUGAAAGAGAAGGCAAGUGCAUAAUAAGAGAUCAUACAAAAAGAAAAAGAGUAUGUAUGUUCUGUAAAAGAAAAAAAAAGAAAAAAAAAGAGAAAAGAAAAACAAAAGAGAAAAAUGCACUUACCGAGACUUAAGACUCUAACACACAUAAAAUGCUCGAAAAAUUUGAGUAGAAAAAGAGUCAAAAGAGUGAAAUUAACCCCCAGAGUAUACGUGAUGCAUGAGAAAAAGAGAAAGAAAAAUCACACAACAUGACUACCGAGUUCAAAACCCUUUGUUAUCCAUUUU